CCAGGCCUAAUCAAAAAGAGCUGUAAUAUUGACGGGUACUUAACAAGAAGUAUGGAGCAAUCUGAAUAGAGUAGAAAAUUUGCUACACUUCACACUUCUAAUAAAAACUUAAUAUAAUAUAUAUAUUUUUUAUUUAAAUCCAUCUACACUGUAUUUGGAUACAAACAUCUACAAUAUUCACCUUCAGUGUAAUUACUAAUUACCUUCAUGUUCAAUUUGAAUAAAAACAAAUAGAAGUAGCCCGAUAUCACUCACAAAAAAAGAUCAUAUUUUCCCGACUAACCCGUGCGUAGCACGGGCCCCGCCACUAGUACUAUAUAAUAGUGGAGCCUAACAAGUGCCACAU
RNAcentral lists this long non-coding RNA (346 nucleotides) under Aquilegia coerulea. RNAcentral's name for it is "long non-coding RNA (ACOE_LNC000448)". Lineage: Eukaryota; Viridiplantae; Streptophyta; Magnoliopsida; Ranunculales; Ranunculaceae. The record is from RNAcentral.